AACGUGCCCUGUUUCGGGGGAUAACUACUCGAAAGAGUGGCUAAUACCGCAUACGCCCUACGGGGGAGAGGGGGGGAUUCUUCGGAACCUCUCCUAUUGGAGGGCCGAUUCGGAUUAGCUAGUUGGUGGGGUAAAGGCUCACCAAGGCAACGAUCCGUAGCUGGUUUGAGAGAACAGCCACACUGGGACUGAGACACGGCCCAGACUCCUACGGGAGGCAGCAGUGGGGAAUUUUGGACAAUGGGGGAAACCCUGAUCCAGCCAUCCCGCGUGUAUGAUGAAGGCCUUCGGGUUGUAAAGACUUUUGGGAAAGAAAAGGAUCUCCUAAUACGAGAUCUGCUGACGGUAUCUGCAGAAUAAGCACCGGCUAACUCUGCCAGCAGCCGCGGUAAUACGGGGUGCAAGCGUUAAUCGGAAUUACUGGGCGUAAAGCGUGUGUAGGCGGU
This 446-nucleotide ribosomal RNA is filed under the name Alcaligenes aquatilis. RNAcentral describes it as "bacterial SSU rRNA". It matches the Rfam family "Bacterial small subunit ribosomal RNA", at positions 123 to 579 of the family's 1533-position model. Lineage: Bacteria; Pseudomonadati; Pseudomonadota; Betaproteobacteria; Burkholderiales; Alcaligenaceae. The record is from RNAcentral.